RNAcentral lists this ribosomal RNA (440 nucleotides) under uncultured bacterium. Its description in RNAcentral is "partial 16S ribosomal RNA". It matches the Rfam family "Bacterial small subunit ribosomal RNA", at positions 338 to 795 of the family's 1533-position model. The record is from RNAcentral.
CCUACGGGAGGCAGCAGUGGGGAAUAUUGCACAAUGGGGGGAACCCUGAUGCAGCAACACCGCGUGGGGGAAGAAGUCCCCCUGUAUGUAAAGCUCCUUUAGCAGGGAAGAAAACCACGGUACCUGUCCAAGCAUGCCCGGCUAACUCGGUUCCAGCACCGGCGGCAACAUGCAGGGGGCAAGGGUUAUCCGGAUUUACUGGGUGUAAAGGGAGUGUAGACGGCAAGGCAAGUUCGGAGUGAAAGCCCGUGGCCCAACCACGGGACGGCCUUGGAUACUGUGGUGCUGGAGAGCAGGAGGGGUAGGCGGAAUGCCUGGUGUAGCGGUGAAAUGCGUAGAUAUUAGGCAGAACACCGGUGGCGAAGGCAGCUUACUGGACUGUAACUGACGUUGAGGCUCGAAAGCGUGGGGAGCAAACAGGAUUAGAUACCCGUGUAGUC